Long non-coding RNA from Mesocricetus auratus (golden hamster), 1315 nucleotides. RefSeq lists it as uncharacterized. NCBI's taxonomy places the organism in Eukaryota, Metazoa, Chordata, Mammalia, Rodentia, Cricetidae. The record is from RefSeq and is a predicted model, not a curated record. The transcript has 2 exons.
CUGACACAGCAGCCAUUUUGCCGCCCCUGGGUGUUGGGGUACAUAGCAACCAACCAGGUAGCAACAAGUGAGCUCUGCCGCUUGCUCAGGGGCAGCCACUUCCUGUGUCAGAUCUGCCCCUUGGGUAGGCUCCUGAUGUUCAGCCCACCUUAUUUGGAAGGGGAGCGGGAGGCUUUUCCGUGUAAGUACUUCCCAGUCAUGUAAGUUAUCUAUCCAUAUUCACCCCGGCUCCCUGAAAUGUUUACUCCCUGUAAUGACAUAGCUAUUUUCAGUGACAAUUGCGGCAGCUUCUAGGCCAGGCUCUCUCUGGUUCCGGCUUCCUCUGCGUGCGAGCGGGAGGACAGGAGCAGCAGAUGCCCCACUACCGGUAGCCUCGGUGCCAACAAUCUGCCUGUGUUGCUGAGGGUGCCCCGGGCCUCUUUUCCUGUCUGCCCUCCCUUCAGAGCUCCUAGCAAGGACCGGGCUGUCUAGAAUAUGGAAGUUACUUGAAAACAUGGGUUGACCUGGGUUGAGGAAGAGGAAGAGAAAGUGCACGUGGGAGGAAGCUAUGGCAUCAUCCAUUUGAGCCGACCUGGAAGAACAGAGGUCCAAUGGCAUUGUAGUUGUAAGUCCUGUCCUCCCAUUGGAGGAGGGGAAGCUGAACCUGAUUGGCUGGGGCCCUGGCCACAAGGCUCCACCUUCGUCUCAUAGCCCAUCACCAUUCUCAAGUCCAAGAGCCUUUUAUACUGACAAGCAAGUACCCCUGGGAGCAGGGGAACAGCACACUCUGCUGCGAGCGGGAAGCCAUAGGCUCCAUGUAUGCAGCGCUCGGUGCAAGGACAGCCCUCCGCAAAAGCAGAGAGACGGGGUAGAUUUCACGCCUCUCCUCCCUUCUAUUUCUUAGCUCAUGGAAGCAAUUCGCCUUCACGGGGGAAAUGCAACCAUCAUCAGAGCCUUUUGCCAUCCCUGAUUCUAGUCCCAAAAGCUAACAACUAAUGUUAACGAUCCUAAGAAACCUCUUGGCAACAUAGAUUGCUAUCUAACGUAACAACUUACAAAUGCAGAACACGUGUGUGUGUGUGUGUGUGUGUGUGUGUAUUUGUGUUCGUGCACAUAUGUGUGUCGCUGGAGAUCAAGCCCAAGGUGUCAAGCAUGCUAGGCAGGCACUGUACCAUUGAGCUGCCUGCACCUGUGCACCUGUCCUGUGGAGUGUGAGCAAUGAUGGCAGUCAUUGUUAAUGUUUCAGCAGUACACUGAUGCUUAAGGUUGUACGGCGUCAUAUCAUUACUCUUUUGUCUGCCCGCAGCCAGCAUAUAGAAGAAAACUUCUGGUAACA